CCCUUCGGGGGUGAGUACAGCGGCGGACGGGUGAGUAACACGUGAGCGAUCCACCUCGAGGCGGGGGACAACCCAGGGAAACCUGGGCUAAUACCGCAUACAGCGGCAGGCAUGGAAACCUGUCGUGAAAGCUGGCCUCUCCAUGGAAGCUAGCGCCUCUGGACGAGCUCGCGGCCUAUCAGCUAGUUGGUGAGGUAACGGCUCACCAAGGCGAUGACGGGUAGCUGGCGUGAGAGCGCGAUCAGCCACACUGGGACUGAGACACGGCCCAGACUCCUACGGGAGGCAGCAGUGGGGAAUCUUGCACAAUGGGCGAAAGCCUGAUGCAGCGACGCCGCGUGGGGGAGGAAGGCCCUAGGGUUGUAAACCCCUGUCAGGUGGGACGAACCGGAGAUCGGCGAAAGCCGGUUUCUCUGACGGUACCACCAGAGGAAGCUCCGGCUAACUCCGUGCCAGCAGCCGCGGUAAAACGGAGGGAGCAAGCGUUGUUCGGAAUUACUGGGCGUAAAGGGCGCGUAGGCGGCCCUGUAAGUCGCAUGUGAAAGGCCGGGGCUCAACCCCGAGUAUUGCAUGCGAUACUGCAAGGCUAGAGACAGGUAGGGGCGAGCGGAAUUCCCGGUGUAGCGGUGGAAUGCGUAGAUAUCGGGAAGAACACCGGUGGCGAAGGCGGCUCGCUGGGCCUGUUCUGACGCUGAAGCGCGAAAGCGU
Molecule: ribosomal RNA, 708 nt
Filed under: uncultured Actinomycetes bacterium
Lineage: Bacteria; Bacillati; Actinomycetota; Actinomycetes
Description: bacterial SSU rRNA
Rfam family: Bacterial small subunit ribosomal RNA
Source: RNAcentral